CAUCACUACGCUAGAUGCAUAUCAAUAAGCGGAGGAAAAGAAACUAACAAGGAUUCCCUUAGUAACGGCGAGUGAAGCGGGAAGAGCUCAAAUUUGAAAUCUUCAAGGUUUUACCUUGACGAAUUGUAGUUUAUAGAAGUGUUUUCUGUUAGUGGAGUUUGGUAAAAGUUCUUUGGAAUAGGACAUCAUAGAGGGUGAGAAUCCCGUAUUUGACCAGUUACUUUCCAGCUGUGUGAUACACUUUCAAAGAGUCGGAUUGUUUGGGAAUGCAGUCCAAGAUGGGUGGUAAAUUUCAUCUAAAGCUAAAUAUUGGCGAGAGACCGAUAGCGAACAAGUACCGUGAGGGAAAGAUGAAAAGAACUUUGAAAAGAGAGUUAAACAGUACGUGAAAUUGUCAAAAGGGAAGCGUUUGACACCAGUGUUGUUUUUCUCGAAAAUCAAUUCAUGAAUGUCUUUAUGCUAGAAGUUUAUGACUUUAUCAGGCUUACUGUCUAGUUUUCUUGUAACUUUGUUAAUGCACUUUUCGGUUAACAAGUCAACAUCAAUUUCUUUUGCUGUAAAAGGGUAUGAGGAAGGUGGCUUUCAUCUUCGGUAGAAAGUGUUUAUAGCCUUGUAGCCUCUGCAAUCGGAGAGAUUGAGGUCUGCAGCGUAGACUCUUCGGGGUUAGAUACAGCUUGUGCUAAGUUAUAGUCUUUUCAUAGACAACUUGUUGACUAUAAUUUAAGUCCUUGUAACUUACUCGCUUAUGCUAUUUUACCUACGCUUAGGAUGUUGACACACGCGCGUGCUCG
RNAcentral lists this ribosomal RNA (791 nucleotides) under uncultured Neocallimastigales. RNAcentral describes it as "partial large subunit ribosomal RNA". It matches the Rfam family "Eukaryotic large subunit ribosomal RNA", at positions 20 to 643 of the family's 3401-position model. Lineage: Eukaryota; Fungi; Neocallimastigomycota; Neocallimastigomycetes; Neocallimastigales. The record is from RNAcentral.